AAUCUUAGCUAACGUCGGGUAUAAGCACGAUCCACAAGGUGCUUGCCCCAGGCUGAGACCCUCCAUUGCACUUCGGAGGGGUGGACGCCUGCGAUUAUCCUUCGUGGAUAAGUCGGGCGUGGCAAUUUUUUCCAUUGGGGCAUGCCCUUCCUCUUCCGCAUGCCCCUA
Molecule: small nuclear RNA, 168 nt
Organism: Folsomia candida
Lineage: Eukaryota; Metazoa; Arthropoda; Collembola; Entomobryomorpha; Isotomidae
Rfam family: U1 spliceosomal RNA
About the family: U1 is a small nuclear RNA (snRNA) component of the spliceosome (involved in pre-mRNA splicing). Its 5' end forms complementary base pairs with the 5' splice junction, thus defining the 5' donor site of an intron.
Source: Rfam